UGGGUUUGAAUCUGUCCUAUUGUUAUCAUGUCCAGGGACUUGUUUCUCUUAACGAGCUAGGCUGGCUGAGCUGGCAUCUGUUAAGCUGAAUUAUCUGUGCAGUUUAUAGACCAGCUAUAGGAGUUACAGAAAAUUACACCUGGGUUAGGAUAACAAUAAAGAAUAGAAGGAUCUCUUUUCAUGGUAGUAGGAUGAAUGAAAUUUGUGUUACACUUAAGCGUCUCCACAUAUCUGACACAGAACUUGGAGUGAGGCAGAGGGUGAUUAUAUGAAAAAAGAAGGCUGAAGCACAUUCCAGGUCUGCUCCAGUAGUCCAAAUCACAUCUCUUGGGAGUGGAGAGCCACAGAAAGAUUUGGUCAACACUGCUUCCAUAGUCUUUUGGAAAAUUUUCUUCAGUUUAUUGAAGAGACUUCAGUUGCCUCAAACCUUUUAAUUUUAGCUCAUUUAAAUAUAUCAGCCAGUUUCAAGACUUGAUAAAGAUGAAUGCAAUUAAUCUUAGAGGCCUCAUAAAUGUUAGAGAAAGAGCUUUUAUUUUGAAAAGACAGUAGAGCCAAAUUAAAAUCCUAUCUGGUAACCCUCUGAAAAUACAAAUGUGGGAAUUUCUGACUGUAAUUAAUUUUGUAUGGGGAUUAUAAUGACUUACAUUUACAUACAACAAAGAUUGCUAAAGAACUGGUGCAACAGAA
Molecule: long non-coding RNA, 687 nt
Organism: Cyanistes caeruleus (blue tit)
Lineage: Eukaryota; Metazoa; Chordata; Aves; Passeriformes; Paridae
Source: RefSeq, a predicted model, not a curated record